RNAcentral lists this ribosomal RNA (506 nucleotides) under uncultured bacterium. RNAcentral's name for it is "partial 16S ribosomal RNA". It matches the Rfam family "Bacterial small subunit ribosomal RNA", at positions 28 to 523 of the family's 1533-position model. The record is from RNAcentral.
GAUGAACGCUAGCUACAGGCUUAACACAUGCAAGUCGAGGGGUAACGAGAGGGAAGCUUGCUUUCCUUGUCGACGACCGGCGCACGGGUGAGUAACGCGUAUCCAACCUGCCCCCAACUAGGGAAUAACCUUGCGAAAGUAAGACUAAUACCCUAUAAUUUCCUCAGAUGUCAUCUGACGAGGAAUAAAGAUUUAUCGGUUGUGGAUGGGGAUGCGUAUGAUUAGCUUGUUGGCGGUGUAACGGCCCACCAAGGCAACGAUAAGUAGGGGUUUGGAGAGGAAGGUCCCGCACAUUGGAGCUGAGACACGGUCCAAACACCUACGGGAGGCAGCAGUGAGGAAUAUUGGUCACUGGGCGGAAGCCUGAACCAGCAAAGUAGCGUGCAGGAUGACGGCCCUAUGGGUUGUAAACUGCUUUUAUACAGGAAUAAAGUUAGCCACGUGUGGUUAUUUGUAGGUACUGUAUGAAUAAGGACCGGCUAAUUCCGUGCCAGCCGCCGCCGUAA